GUGGGAUCCUAUGGAGUAGAAGAUCGUGUGCAGUCGCAAUAUUAUUUUUUUGGAGGAUCGAUGAUCGACGACUUUAAGAAGCCUAAUAAGCCAAAGUCGACCCCAAGCAGCCUUGUAGACUUGUGCCCAGAUACUUCUUUGAGAAGUCUUGAUGAUGGAAAAAGAACUAUGGAUGAUAGUACAGAUAAUAGUCACGAGACUAAAG
RNAcentral lists this long non-coding RNA (205 nucleotides) under Elaeis guineensis (African oil palm). Its description in RNAcentral is "long non-coding RNA (EGUI_LNC073275)". The record is from RNAcentral. Lineage: Eukaryota; Viridiplantae; Streptophyta; Magnoliopsida; Arecales; Arecaceae.